Molecule: non-coding RNA, 23 nt
Filed under: Arabidopsis thaliana (thale cress)
Lineage: Eukaryota; Viridiplantae; Streptophyta; Magnoliopsida; Brassicales; Brassicaceae
Source: RNAcentral
UUGAGUUGUGCGAUGCAUGCUGC